CAUGGCGACAAUGGAAGAAACGCCCAACGUCUGCGCUACCGGGAUACAGACGGGGAGUCGCCCCGCCCCCUGCCGCGCUAGCCCCGCCCCCUCCGUUACAGUGAUGAAGUGAUAGUAGUCGUGUCACACUGCGUCACUAACAUCUUGUCACGAUCCGGGUAUCUGGACGCCAUUUCUUACCUAUCAGAUGCCUUCUAAGGCUGGCUCAGCGCUCCAGGACCGGAUCCCAUCUGUCAUCCUGAUGUGCACAUUCCCGCAUCCUCUCCUGUCUCUCUGGACGCAGUCACAGUAACGCCUUAUACAUCUGGCAUGGCGUCUCCCGCGGCCUCCGCCGCCGUCCCUGAGCUUCUGCAUUCAGAGUGGCGAUUACGUCAGCCGCGGCCUCCGCUGUGUCCGCGUGGUCGGAUGUGCAUCUGUCAGCCUGACAUCUCCUGUCUCCGGUGGCCGGCGCCGCCAUUACUGUUUUCCAGACCACAUGGAUUACAAUCCAAACUUCCCUCCAAGUGUCUGCAUGGGCGCAGCCAUCUUGGAUUCUGUCAGCUGAUCUUUCCUACCAAUCCGUUGUUCCAGCUCCUGUCUCCAGACUUCUGCUAUAGAGACCAGCACCAGCAUUCCAUCUGCGGUGUAGCCUGACUCUCCGAUCCAUUCUGGACUCACCUGUUUCCAGCUACAACAUCACCUGCUUCCAGCUCAGCUUCCAGCAGUGUACAGCUUCUC
Long non-coding RNA from Pseudophryne corroboree (corroboree frog), 717 nucleotides. RefSeq lists it as uncharacterized. The transcript is spliced from 3 exons. The record is from RefSeq and is a predicted model, not a curated record. Lineage: Eukaryota; Metazoa; Chordata; Amphibia; Anura; Myobatrachidae.